UACAGAGGGGGCAAGCGUUGUACGGAAUUACCGGGCGCAAAGCGCACGCAGGCGGUCUGUCAAGUCGGAUGUGAAAUCCCCGGGCUCAACCUGGGAACUGCAUCCGAAACUGGCAGGCUAGAGUCUUGUAGCGGGGGGUAGAAUUCCAGGUGUAGCGGUGAAAUGCGUAGAGAUCUGGAGGAAUACCGGUGGCGAAGGCGGCCCCCUGGACAAAGACUGACGCUCAGGUGCGAAAGCGUGGGGAGCAAACAGG
This 253-nucleotide unclassified non-coding RNA is filed under the name uncultured Enterobacteriaceae bacterium. Its description in RNAcentral is "contains 16S-23S intergenic spacer region". It matches the Rfam family "Bacterial small subunit ribosomal RNA", at positions 524 to 776 of the family's 1533-position model. The record is from RNAcentral. Lineage: Bacteria; Pseudomonadati; Pseudomonadota; Gammaproteobacteria; Enterobacterales; Enterobacteriaceae.